RNAcentral lists this unclassified non-coding RNA (329 nucleotides) under soil metagenome. Its description in RNAcentral is "partial contains 5.8S ribosomal RNA, internal transcribed spacer 2, and large subunit ribosomal RNA". The stretch from base 1 to 120 matches the Rfam family "5.8S ribosomal RNA", at positions 35 to 154 of the family's 154-position model. The record is from RNAcentral.
GAUGAAGAACGUAGCGAAAUGCGAUAAUUAAUGUGAAUUGCAGAAUUCCGUGAAUCAUCGAGUCUUUGAACGCACAUUGCGCCCCUUGGUAUCCCGAGGGGCAUACCUGUUCGAGCGUCAUUUCACCACUCAAGCCUGGCUUGGUGUUGGGCGACGUCCCCUUUGGGGACGCGCCUUGAAACGCUCGGCGGCGUGGCACCGGCUUUAAGCGUAGCAGAAUCUUUCGCUUUGGAAGUCGGGGCCCCGUCUGCCGGAAGACCUACUCGCAAGGUUGACCUCGGAUCAGGCAGGGAUACCCGCUGAACUUAAGCAUAUCAAUAAGCGGAGGA